Molecule: ribosomal RNA, 253 nt
Filed under: uncultured bacterium
Lineage: Bacteria
Description: partial 16S ribosomal RNA
Rfam family: Bacterial small subunit ribosomal RNA
Source: RNAcentral
UACAGAGGUCCCAAGCGUUGUUCGGAUUCACUGGGCGUAAAGGGUGCGUAGGUGGCUUGGUAAGUUUGAUGUGAAAUCUCCGGGCUUAACCCGGAAAUGGCAUUGAAUACUAUUGAGCUGGAGGUUUGGAGGGGGGACUGGAAUUCUCGGUGUAGCAGUGAAAUGUGUAGAUAUCGAGAGGAACACCAGUGGCGAAGGCGAGUCCCUGGACAACACCUGACACUGAGGCACGAAAGCUAGGGGAGCAAACAGG